This 292-nucleotide ribosomal RNA is filed under the name uncultured bacterium. RNAcentral describes it as "partial 16S ribosomal RNA". It matches the Rfam family "Bacterial small subunit ribosomal RNA", at positions 505 to 796 of the family's 1533-position model. The record is from RNAcentral.
GUGUCAGCAGCCGCGGUAAUACGUAGGUGACGAGCGUUAUCCGGAAUUACUGGGCGUAAAGCGCACGCAAGCGGUUGGACAAGUCUGGCGUGAAAUCCUCUGGCUUAACCAGGGGCGGUCGCUGGAGACUGUUCGGCUUGAGGCGAUGAGAGGGGUGCAGAAUUCCCGGUGUAGUGGUGGAAUGCGUAGAGAUCGGGAGGAAUACCAGUGGCGAAAGCGGCACCCUGGCGUCGUACUGACGCACAUGUGCGAAAGCGUGGGGAGCGAACGGGAUUAGAAACCCUCGUAGUCC